UUUUUUUUUUUUUUUUUUUUUUUUUGGAGACCGGCUUUCUCUAUGUUGCCCAGGCUGGUCUCCAACUCUUGGACUCAAGCGAUCAUCCUGUCUCAGCCUCCCAAAAUGUGUCAUACCUUUUUAAUUGUGCAAUAGACAAGUAAAAAGGGUUAAGAAGAACUGAUACUCUUGGAAAAAAGAAAUAUACCUUUCAGUGCUAAUUGGGCAUUUACAAAAGUUAGUUAUAUAUUAAUAGAGGAAGGAACUCCAAAACGUUGAAAUACUAUAGGCUAAAUUCUCUAAAAUAGAAUAAAACUAGAAAUUAAUAUAAACAUGGAAACAACAAAGUCUCUUAACUAUCUAAAAAUUUACAUAUGCUAAAAAAUCCUGGAUUAAAGAGAAAUCAAACUUUAAGACAGGGUUGUCCAGUCUUUUGGUUUCCCUGGACCACACUGGAAGAAGAAUAGUUGUCUUAGACCACACAUAAAAUACAGUAACACUAAUGAUAGCUGAUUGAUAGGCUAAAAAAAAAA
RNAcentral lists this long non-coding RNA (512 nucleotides) under Homo sapiens (human). RNAcentral's name for it is "novel transcript, sense intronic to CDK13". Lineage: Eukaryota; Metazoa; Chordata; Mammalia; Primates; Hominidae. The record is from RNAcentral.